RNAcentral lists this long non-coding RNA (11295 nucleotides) under Marmota monax (woodchuck). The record is from RNAcentral. Lineage: Eukaryota; Metazoa; Chordata; Mammalia; Rodentia; Sciuridae.
CGAUCCUGGAAAAGAUUAAGAGGCACGAACCUACGAGUUCAAGAGCAGAAUGUCACUCUGGUGUUGAACUUUGGGUUUUCUUUUCUUUCUUUGAGUCAAUGAGAAAGGCAUCUGACAGCCCCUGGUCAUGGUAAGGCACUUGGGGUAGGCCCUCACCCCAAGAACCUCAAGUGUGUGUGAGGAGCCAGGAAAGGGUGGCAAGGGGAAGUCCACAGAAGGGAAGGCGGGUUGUGGUAUUGUUUGGGGAAGGGGAUCUCCCUGCCUCCUAGUGCUGUGGAUCCCAGGAAAAGAUAGGAGUUCUACAUCCACAGGAUACCCCAAACUACCUGUUACCCAGAGUCCCUAGUGACUCAGUGGUUGGGGGAAUUUACCUGAAGUGUAGAGUUCUCAGAUCGGAGCUCUGAACCACCACGGAUGAGGAACACACUAGACGCAAGUGGAAUCAUCCUCCCUGAGGAGCCACAGAGACCUGGAGACUUGUGUCAGCCCGUAGACUGAAAGGACCAAUGGCCUCUGCUGCAAGUGAAAGUUAGACUGAUUGCAGUCUGUACUUUGUGUACAAUUUGGAUCUGGGAAAAAUUGAAGGUGCAGGAGCCCCAUGAAGGAGCAGACUGAGCUUUCUGCUAAUCAGGCAAAUGGGGGCAUAAGUCAAUUUUCAUGGGGAAAAAUAAAGACUCCAUUAUCUUGCAACCCGACGUAGUUCAUUCUAGCAACAACUUCUAGAACUUGUGCUAAGGGAUGCCACCUUUGUCCAAUUCUCCCUUGUUUUGUGGUACUGAGGUUUGACCCAGGAGCACUUUACCACUAAGCUGCAUCCCCAGCUCUUUUUAAUUUUCAUUUUCAGACAGGGGUCUAAGUUGCUAAGGAUGGACUUAAUCUUGAGAUCAUCCUGCCUCAGUUUCCCUACUCCUUGGGAGUACAGGUAUGUGCCAACUUUCCAACUUCCCCUUGGUUUCCUGCCUCUGGGAUGUUACUUCCUUGCCUCAAAUGCCCUCCCUUCUCACCUGCAAUCAUUGAAAUCCAAUUCAUUCCUUGAGAGCUAAUUCCAAUGUUCCUUUUAUAUGAUGCCUCUCUGAUCACCUCAACUAGAAGCAAUCUGUCUUUACUUUUAUAGACUUUCUUUUAGCAUUUGCAUGCCUUUUUCACAUUAUACCUAACACUGUAUGGCAGUUGUCAACUUGUCUUUUUUUUAUCUAAUAGUUGGCAAACUUCAUGUCUUUAUGUCUCCCAAAGUACCUGAUACUUAGAAAGUACUUCUUAAAUAAAUAAAUAAAUACACCAAUUUUUUAAAACAACUGCAACUAAGGUAUGGUAGGCAUUGUGAAUGUCUUAAUAUCUCUUUUCUUCCUUCCCAUUGUGUAGGUACCAUCAGUUUGAGUGGUAGCUCCAGGGGGUGCCCCCCACCCAGGGUGUAAGCCAUUUUCAACCUCUUACCAAGAAGAAAGUUGUUUGAGCCUGAGCCAGUUAGCACAGGACAUGCAAUGGUCUGAUCAGAAUGAAGCUCAGUAUUUCUGUGCAGUAGCUACAGGAAGCAAUAGCUUCUUUGUCCCUAGACUCAUUGGAGCACAAGUUGCUGUUCACAGCCAUAUGGCAAUCUAGCCCACAAAGGAGUACAGGCAGAGAGAAUCAGAGAAAGAAAUGGAGCUGCAGCCCUGAUUAAAACAUAUAAGAAGUCUCCCCUAACACUUAACUGUUUAGUUAUGUGAACCAAUAAAGCCUCUUUGUGUUUUCUCUUGCUGACAAGCACAAUCUAACCAGUGCCUUGGAAAUUGUAUUUGUCAGUUUUGGAGGCUGAAAGUCCGAGAUCCUGGGGCCCCAUUGGUUUGUUCUCUGGUAAAGGUCUAAUGACAGAUGGAUUGUGGCAGAAGUGCAUGUGGGAAAUGAUCACAUGGAAACAGGAAGCCUGAGGAGUAAGGGGUUGGGCUUAUAAAAGUUCAGGGGUCCCAGGAGAGCUACCUUAAUUUCUUCUGAGGACGGCUCCCCAGUGACCUAAGAGUCUCCCAUUAAGCCCCUCCUCUUAAAGGUCCCACUAGCUCUCAGCACCGCCAUAGUAGAGACCAAGCUCCCAACAUAUAAAUGCUAGGGAACACACUCAAACUAUAUCUAAACUGUAGAAAGAAGGCAGCAUUUUGGUGAGUGCUGUGGGUUCAAAUGUUGUAUGUAAGUGUAUGCACCCACAUUCACACAUUCACAAUAUCUGAAUCCUCUUAGAGAAGAACACACACCUUCAAUUCCUGGGAGGGUUGUGACUUCUGCUUUUACAAAAUUGUAUACUUAAAACUUUUUGGUAAAAAUUGCCAAGUCAAAGAACUGAUGCCAUUUUUUUUUCAGCACUGAGGAUUGAACUCAGGGUCUUGCAAGUGUUAGACAAUUGUUCUGCCACCAAGCUAUAGCUCUAGACAUCUUUUGACAAUUUUCUUUUCUUUUUUUUUUUAAUUUUUGUGUUAAAAAUGAUUUUGUAAUUUUAACUCAAAUUAAUAAGAGUAUCUAAGGCUCUGGCAAGUGAUAAUAUAUUGUAAAUACUUUUUCCUUUUAAAAAUUAAUAUAUUGCUGGAGGGAGGGAGGAGGAGAGGGAGAGAGGAGGCACUGGGAACUGAAAUAGAGCAAAUUAAAUUCCAUGCAUUUAUGAUUAUGUCAAAAUGAACCCAACUAUCAUGUAUAACUAUAAAACACUAAUAAAAGCAUUUUAAACAUUAAUAUUUGAUCCAUUUGUUAGUAUUUAAAGAAAUAAAAUCAUCUUUUACCUUAAUAUGAAGUAUUUUCAACAUUCUCCUUAGGAGGUAAAAUAGGGUUCUAAUAAUUGGAAGGUGAUAUUGACUUUUCCUGGCUCUGUUCCAUGCCUUGACCUUAUUUUCAACUUUGGCUUAAGAUUUUGAAACCUGUUUGUUCACUUGCUUUCUUGGCAAGCACUCUGACUCCUUUCUCCAGGGACUUAGCUCCUCAUGAGCUGGGACCACGUCUUGUACCUCUUUCAUAACCCAGGUUCUCCCCAAGCCACAUGGAGUCCAGAGUGUCCCAAAAGCUGGUGGGCAGCUCAUGGAAAUUUCCACAUCAGCCGCUCAUCCCCAGCCCCUCUCCCAGCCUCUUGGGACCUAGCCUACAAGUCCUACCAGCCCAAGGACACUGAGCCUGGCUCUGGGUCAGCCUCUGGGUCUAUUUAUGACUUUUUAUCUCAGGGUUUGCCUGGCAUUUUGCACUCAGGAAACCUCCUCCUGUCCUCAUCAGUCAACACACAAACAUGUGUCCUUAUCUGGACAAGAAGAGAACAGUGGGUCAGAUAAACAAACUUUUCCAUAUGGCUGCCCUGUUGGUCCCUGUGUCUUUCUACCUUGGAUUCAUUCUUCUGAUCUGGUGCCUAAAUAUUUGAUAGGAACAAAGAAAACCUUCUGAUAUCAGAUAAUAUAUCUUUAGGACAACUGAUAAACUUAUUGAUAAACUUUUUUCUUACAUGCUUCCCCUUACUAGGGAAAAUCUGUCUGUCUAUGAGAUGGUAGAAACCUCUUCCUUUCUUCUUCAUACAUUCCCCUGAGCUCAGACCAUUGGUAGAAGUAAUUACUGAAAAGCCCCCAAGGCCCCUGUGGAAGUUGCUCAGGGAAAAACUAAGCCUUUGAGGGACUGGGAGUGCCUAGUGCCUGGGGAGGGAGGGAAAGAGGAGCUACCCUGCCUCUACCAUGGCACCACUGUUUCCUCUCCCUGGACAUUGAAGAAGAAACCAAAGAAUCUGAGAACAGAGCAGAGCCUGGCCAUUACACCAGGUCCCUUAGGUACAUUAAUCUCUUUGGGCCUUUGCAUUUUAAGGGACCACAAACCUGACCUACCUACUUAGUUCUUAAUUUUUAUUUUAUGAUAUUAUCUGUAGUAUUAUUUUACCAAUGGCUCAGAUAUCAUCUGGAGCCUUUGUGGAUAAAGUUGUUUCAAACUUCUAUUCCGCAUUUAGUGGGAGUCUAAAGUCCUCCUCAAAAGUUUGGCCGGUCCUCGGAGGGAGACCUGAGUGGAAGGUGGAAAGAGGCUUACACUGCUGACCAAUCUGGCUCUGAGCCCUUGCAUCUGCCGACUUUAGUGUGCAGACUAUCUCACUAGCCUUGGGCUGUCCCUAUCCAGUGCUUUUGUCAGCCCCUUCAGGGGAACAACUCCAAAACGAGUCACCCUGGACCUCCUUUAUCCAGUCUCGUGAAGGUUUUCGUAGGCUGAUUCUCCACGUGGAAUGGUCUAGCCUCUCUCUUUAUUCUCUCAUCUUUCCUCCUUAUCCAUCUCUUUUGUAUUACCUCCAGAAUUCCAAAUCCUUGUUUUAUUCUAUAGAGUCAUUUAUUUUUCUAUCAUUUCUUCUGCCAAACUCAGCCAUACAAACUUAUCUAAGUUGCAGAGUAGGAUGUCAAGCAAGAUCCAUCUUCACUAUGUACCAGGCAAUUGUGGCUGUGAAUAUUUUAUUCUCACUCUUUUAAAACUGAAAUAAAAUUUCUGCUAAAUACUUGUCCAAACGACAAAUCCACAUCUUUGGAAGUAGAGAAAAUGAGGAAGAGACGACAAUUUUGAUCUAAUUCUCUCAAUAAGGGAGUAUCUGGUUGUAAACUGAAAGGGAGAUAAUGAGGACUAACUUCAUCUUUUCCUGUGAAAGAAUUAACUUUAACAAUUUCAUAUUCUUCAGGAAGUUUAUGCUAAGCAAAUAAUGCAAAUUAUGGACAGUUAUUUUGCACAAAAAGAUUUUCAUUAAUUCUUUUUUGUAUUUGUUCCAAAUAGUUAUAUGUGACAGUAGAAUGCAUUUUGACCCAUCAUACAUAAAUGGAGUUUAACUUUUCAUUCUCUGGUUGUACAUGAUGUAGAGUUAUAAUUAAUUCUUUAUUCAAAAAAAAAUCAGAUGCAACCUAAAAGUAUAGAAGAAGGUGAUAGUUACACAAAUUAUUAAUUAUUGCUACAGUGAACUAUCAUUAUACAGUAUUUUUUAAAAAAGUAUUCAUUUUUUUCAGGUCCUAUAAUCUUUGACAAGAUGAAAGGCCUUUGCUUUUCUUAAAAAAUAUAUUUUUUAAAAUUUUUGGAUGUUGAUGGGCCUUUAUUAUCUUAAUUUAUUUAUAUGCGGUUCUGAGAAUUGAACCCAAUGCCUCACACAUGCUAGGCAAGUGCUCUACCACCGAGCCACAACCCCAGCCCCUUAAAAAAUAAUUUUAUUUUUUUAUGUGGUGCUGAGGAUUGAACAUGGUGCCUCACAUGUGCUAGGCAAGUGCUCUACCACUGAGCUACAGCCCCAGUCCUAUUAUAUAGUAUUUGAAGUUGUUUUUGAAAAGUAAUUAAUAAUGUGAUAAAAUAUCAUCAAUAAAAAAAGCAAAAAAUUAAAUGCAGAGCUACCACAAUCCAGCUACUGGGUACAUAUUCAAAUGAAAUGAAAUCAGUACGUUGAAGAGACAUUUGCUCCCAUGUCUAUUGCAGGAAUAUUCACAACAGCCAAAAUAUGAAAUCACCUAAAUUCCACCAACAAAUGAAUGGAUAAAGAACAUGUGGUAUAAUACAUAAUGGAAUACCAUUCAAUAUUAAAGGAAAUGCUGUCAUUUGUGACAACACGGAUGAACCUGGAGGACAUAUGAGUCAGGCACAUAAAGACAAACACCACAUGAUCUUAUAUGUAGAAUCCAAAAAAGUUGAAUUCAUAGAAGCAGAGAGCAAACUGGUGGUUACUAGUGACUUGCAGUGGGUGUGGUGCUUUUAAGAAGAUGGUGGUCAAAUGGUAAAAAAAAAAAAAAAACUCCAAUUAGAACAAAUAAGUCUAUGAGCUCUAUUGUACAGCAUAAUGACAAUAAUUAAUAUCAAUGAGUUGUAUUCUUGAAAAUUGCUGAGAGAAUAGUUUUUAAGUGUUUUCUCCACAAAAAUCAGUAUGUGAAAUAAUACAUAGGUUAACAUGAUUUAGCCUUGCCACAAUGUAUAUAUAUUUCAGAACAACAUUUUAUACAUGAUAUAUGUUUCAAAUUUUUGGUUCAAUUGGGAUUGAACUCAGGGGCACUCAACCACUGAGCCACAUCCCCAGCCCUAUUUUGUAUUUUAUUUAAAGACAGGGUCUCACUGAGUUGAUUAGUGCCUCGCCUUUUGCUGAGGCUGGCUUUGAACUCAUAAUUCUCCUGUCUCAGCAUCUGGAGCCAUUGGGAUUACAGGCAUGCACCACCGCACCUGGCAGAAAAAUAAAAAAUUUUAAAAUUCGAAUAAAAAAAUAAAGCAGUGUGCAAGUAAUGGAGAAUGUAUGUUCUCAACAUAGAAAAACAGAUACAAAAAUUAUGCUGAAAUAUUAAUAGUAAUUACCUAGAAAUGGUCAGUGUUAAUUUCCUCUAUUUUGCCAUGGUAGGCAUAUAUUACUUCUUCAAAUAGGAAAAAAACCCCACUAUUUUCUGAAAAUAAAAUGCUAGACUGGUAGAGCAGAGCAAUGCCACAUAUACAGGGUAUCCUGGUUUUACAAGGCAUUUGACAAAGUCCUCCAAUGAUAUGCAUGUAUACUACUGGGUGAAAAUGCACACUGAGUUAUGAUAAGUCUAAAUGGUUGGUUAUCACCUCCACUCCAGAGUUUGGAAUCCAGUGGAAGAAGCAGGUUUCUGUUCUGCUUCAUGCAUUUACUGUAUUUCAGGUAGAGAUGAAGAACUACACUGUUCCAUAUGGUAUUCAUUAGCUAUGUGUGACUAUUUAAAUAUAAUUAAAAAUAGCAUACUAUAGUGAUACAGCCACAUCAAUGUUUAUAGCAGCUCAAUUAACAAUAGCUAGACUACGGAAUCAAUCUAGGUGUCCCUCAUUAGAUGAAUGGAUAAAUAAAAUGUGGCAUAUAUACUCAAUAGAAUAUUACUCAGCUUUAUAGAAGAGCGAAAUUAUGGCAUUUGCCAGUAAAUGGUUGCAGUUGGAAAAUAUCAUGCUAAGGGAAAUAAGCCAAUCCCACAAAACCAAAGGCCAAAUGUUUUCUCUAAUAUGCGGAUGCUAAUUCACAAUAAGGGGGGGGGACACUAGGGAAGAAUAGUGUUACCUUAGAUUAGGUAGAGGGAAGUGAUGGGAGGGAGUGCAUAUAGGGAUAGUAAAGAUAGUAGAAUGAAACAGACGUUAUUACUGUAUGUAUAUAUGUGACUACAUGACCAAUAUGAUUCUGCAACAUGUGCACUCAGAAAAAUGAAAUUAUAUCCCAUUUAUGUAUGAUAUAUCAAAGUGCAUAAAUGCAUUCUACUGACAUAUAUAACUAAUUAAACAAAUCAAAAAAUUUUAAAAAUCAAAUAUAAUUUAAUCCCCCAGUUGUAGUAGCCUCGUUUCAAGAACUCAAUAGCUGUAUGUGGCUAACAGUUACCAAACUGGACAGCACGGAUUUGAAGCUGAUCUAGGGGGCAGGCUUAUCAGUUUCACAGAGGCCUCUCAGAUGAUUACCCAGUCUAAACAGAUAAACUGGAAUUACUAUAAUUUCCUCCAGGAGGGUGCCAAAACACAAUUGCAGAUUUGAUAAUUCUGAGCUGUAUUGGUCAAACCACAGAGAAUUCAAGUGUAUUUCCUUUGGUGGUAUUUUCAGAAUUAGAAUUGGCAAUAAAGAAAUUGCCUAAAUCCUCAGCGGUAGAGCGCUCACCUCGCACGUGCAAGACCCUGAGUUUGAUCCUCAGCACCGCACAGAAAUGAAUAAGUGAAAUAAAGAUGUUAUGUCCAACUAUAGCUAAAAAGUAAAUAUUAAAAAAAAGAAAUUGCCUAAAUAGAAAGUACAAUUUUCAUCUCUACAAACUACUAUUGGUUAUAAACAUAUCACAAUGGAGGGGCUGGCACAGUGUAUAGAGAAAAAACUGUUAGGAAUAGCUCCGGCACUUGAUUUUGGUUUUGGUAACAACAACAAAGCUUUGUGCUUUGUUAACUAAACAAUGAGACAAUGAAUCAUAAAGGAAAUAAAAAUGAUGGUUCUGAUGAGAGAGAGAAGAGAGAGAACAUGCCAAACUAGCACUUGUGAGCAAAACCCAGAAGCAAUCAAGCGAUGCUUGAUUUUACAGCUACACUACUAAAGCAGUAAAGCAGCUUUGUAAUCAAGAUUCCUACAGGAAAAUGAUUUUAUUAUUGUCCAUCUAAAAUUUGCUAACCUCAAACCCUGUCUUUUUUCACCUCUAAAAAUAUUAGUUCUUAUGUUUUGAUAAUGUGACUUCCAAAAAUGCAACAAUAAUAGUGGAAUAGACAGAACUGUAUUCAUUUUUUAGUAUCUAGAAACAACAACAAAUAGAAGACACUUAGGCCUAAAGCUGAUGUGUGUACAUCUGGGAGGGAGGAAAUUGGCAUUGAAUUUCAGUACAAUACAAGGAAGAUCUUUCCAAAAAUUAGAGGUGAUACGUUGGGCUGUUGGAGAUGUAUGGGGUGAGGGGUAGGAUAGGCUAGAUUCUAGUCAGGCCAAUCUGAAUUUUUGUAUUUGGAUACUUUCUUGUUAUGAGGCCUUGGACAAGUUACUUAGUUCUUCUAAGCUCCUGUUUCUUCACUUUUAAAAGGAGCAAAGUAACUCUUUUAGUGUUAUUGAAUUGAGUAAGAUGGUACAUGCCUAUGUUUAUCAUAGUACCUGGCACUUGGUAAACCUUCAUAAACCAUAUCUCUUAGCUCUUAUGGUUGUUCAUGGUGAUUGAACUGUCUCCAGAUGUUCAAGCAAAGUGCUAUGGUUUGGAUUUUAACUGUCUCCAAGGGCCCAGGUGUUAAAAGGUUCCUCCUGAGCUUGGUUCUACUGGGAAGUGGUAGAACCUUUAAGGGGCAGGGCCUAGUGGAAAGAAGUCAGGUCAUUAGGGGCAUGGUGAAAACAGGAAUGUAAUUUUGCCUUUCCCUUCAAAGCCCUGCUCUUAGCCACUAGGCUACACUCAUGCAAAGAUGGGUGAAUUGUUAUAUAUUCCUGGCUGACUGAAUAUGAUGAUGAACAGCUGCAGGGGGAAACAUGUGGGAUUUAGCAUUGUAGUAAUGAGGAAGGAGUCCAAACCAGGAGUUAAGGAGACUUGGGACUUGGACCCUUGUCUUGUGACUUUGGAUUUCAUUCCCUUUCUACCAAACAACAUUUGAACUGGCUCUUUCAUGCCAGGUUGCUUCAGGGUUGUUGGAAAAAGUCAUGGGAACCACCAGCUAACAGGAAGUGCAUUGAAUGGCUCCAGGGCUUUGUCUUCCAUUGAUAGAGAUGUUCAUGUCUUGUUCUGAUACAAAAUGAGGUCCUAGUUCUGGGUAAAACCUCACAUAUGCCCUUACCACCACCUUUAUCCAUGAAUAGAAAGGCAGGGGAAAGUCUUGGCUACCCCCUCCCCUUCCCACUUUAUGGCCUGAUAACUGCAUACUACUGACAAUACAUGGUAUGAGGUGCUCUUCCCAGACAAUGACAACAAGGACUAACAUUGCCAGUUAAAGGUGAACACCCAGAAAACAGGCCCUUAUGCUCAGCUCUGAACAACAUGGAAGUCAAGUGCAUUCAUCAAAUACAUCAACCUCUGUGGUGUGGUCAGGUUCUGACCUGGGCCUGGAUCAAAAAGCCAGUCCUCAAAUGGAUGGAGUUAGAGAAGAUAAUGCUAAGUGAAGUUAGCCAAUCCCCAAAAAACAAAUACCGAAUGUUUUCUUUGAUAUAAGGAGGCUGAUUCAUAGUGGGAUAGGGAACGGGAGCAUGGGAGGAAUACACAAACUCUAGAUAGGGCAUUAAGGUGGGAGAGAGCAUGGGGUUAGAAAUAAUGGUGGAAUGUGAUGAUCAUUAUUAUCCAAAGUACAGGAAUGAAGGACACAAACUUGUGUGAAUAUACUUUGUAUACAACUAGAGAUAUGAAAAAUUGUGCUUGAUAUGUGUAAUAAGAAUUGUUAUGCAUUCCACUGUCAUAUAUUAAAAAAUGAUAAUAAUAAAAAGAAAGAAACCAAGAUUUGAGUACCAGAAAGGUUCAUUACUAUAUCCAAACUUUUAGUGCUCAGUAAGCAUGACUCUGGAUUGUUGCGUGAUCUAUUUAGUUUGCGCUCAAGAAAGCAAACAUCCCACGUGUAAAUAGUUAAUAUAGUUACAUUUAUUCUUUUGUUUAUUAAACAUUUGGAGAUGUGCUACGUAGUAAACACUGUUCUUUCACUGAAGACACAGAAAACGUGACUGUUGUAAUGGAACUUACACUGUAUGGGGAAAAAGAAAAUAAUAAAUAAGCAAAUAAAUAUUUAUUAUGUCAUAUAAAGAUGAUUGAUAUGGAGGAAAACAAAGGACCCAGAAGGAAGCUUAAAGGGGAGAAGCUGCUAUUUAAAACAAGAAUGAGGUGAGCAGAUUAUAUAUCUGGGAUAGGGAGAGGAAAGAGAGUGCUCUAGACAGAAGUAAUAAAAAAUAUACACCUGUUGGGGGGGAAGAUUGUUUUAUGGGUCCCAACAAAGCAAGACCAGUAUGGCGGUAAUAGGGUGCUCAGAGGCAGUCAGAUAGAACUUCAUGUCUGACAUACUCUGAAGGAUAUCCUACAACAGGCCCUUUCUUUAGCUAUCUUAGAUAUCAAGACUGCAUAAUAUGAUAUAUCAAGAACUAUGUAAUGUUUUGAACAGCCAACAAUAAAAAAUUAAAAAAAAAAAAAGACUGCAUAAUAUAUAAUUGGACUUACUACUUUCAUUCAGGUAAUGAAUUAAAUAACAUUUUAUCUGGAAUACUACUAUUAUCUAUGAAAGAUGUGGAUGGAUCACAAUGGAUUUUUCUGCUAUUAACUUCUUAACACCUGUAAUUUAUUAACAAAUAUCAUUUCCUAAAACCUUUGAUAGAAUUGUUUGAGGCCCAGAAAAGAUGUGAGAAACAGUUGGACCAAAAGAACGAAUACAUUUCUAAAUGAAUAAAAUUUUACAAGAUUAAAAAAAAAAAAAAAAAAGCCAGUCCUCUCUGAUGUCACCAGGGAGGAAGAACAUGGGGGCUUGAACCUCCUACACAGCAAGAACCUGUUUUGUCAUCUUUGCUUUUCCUAUUCCAGAGACUGGUUGGCUGAAUGCUGCAGGCCCAUUUGGUGACCACCUUAUGCUUGAGGGAGCCCUGGUGGCUCACAGCAGAAUCUGCUGCCCUCCUGUGGCCGUGCUGGCAUGGCGCUAACAAAAGGAGAAAUUCAAGAAAAACUGAAGAGUCUUUGAAGACACCCAAGAAGUGGCAGAAGAACAGCAGCCUCCCUGGGAGAGUCUUCAAACAUUUUGGCCUCAGAAACUCCUUUAUACUUGUAAAAAUUACUGAGAACCCCCAAAGAUCUUUUAUAGGUUAAUUCUAUCCUAUUUAGAAAUACAACUGAAAUUUUUAAAAAAUUAUCUAUCAAUUCCUUAAAAAUUAAUAGUAAACAUUUUAACUCAAAUAAUGCAGUUAUAUGAAAA